ACCAGGUGACACACACCUGUUGUCCCAGCUACUCAGGAUGCUGAGGCAGGAGUAACUCUUGAGCCCAGGAGUUCUGGGUUGUAUGUGCUAUGUUGAUCAGGUGUCUACACUAAGAUUGGCAUCAACAUAUUAUCUUCCAGGGAGCAGAGGACCACUAGGUUGCCUAAGGAGUGAUGAACCAGCGCAACUCAAAAAUUGAGCAGGAUAAAACUCCUCUGCUUAUCAGUAGUGGGAUAAGUCCUUGGAAUACUGACUCCACUCCAAUCUGGGCAACGUAGUGAGACUCUAUUUCU
RNAcentral lists this signal recognition particle RNA (293 nucleotides) under Aotus nancymaae (Ma's night monkey). RNAcentral describes it as "Metazoan signal recognition particle RNA (ENSANAG00000001382.1)". It matches the Rfam family "Metazoan signal recognition particle RNA". From Rfam's summary of the family: The signal recognition particle (SRP) is a universally conserved ribonucleoprotein. Lineage: Eukaryota; Metazoa; Chordata; Mammalia; Primates; Aotidae. The record is from RNAcentral.